Long non-coding RNA from Peromyscus leucopus (white-footed mouse), 1444 nucleotides. RefSeq lists it as uncharacterized. The transcript has 2 exons. Lineage: Eukaryota; Metazoa; Chordata; Mammalia; Rodentia; Cricetidae. The record is from RefSeq and is a predicted model, not a curated record.
AAAGUGCCCUAGAAGCUAUUCAUUACGAAUUCACUGGAAGCUCUCAAACGAGGCUGGCAGAAGCUGAAAUUGAAGUGGUCUCUGACCUAAUUUUCUUCUGCAUGAAACAUCUGCAUCAAGGCUCUCUUUGAUGUAUUCCACUUGGCUCUGUCUACAGGAUUGUAUCACAUGGCCUCCGUGUUGCCUUCUUAUUGAAAGACAUUUUCAGCCUGAGCAAGGUUUAUAACCAGGCACAACUGUACUUGCAUUUCAAGAACUAGAGAAGACAAAAGGCAAAGAAAGAGUUUCUGGCAUGCAGUUCCUCUACUAGUGAACAGCAAAUACUGCCAUAUCUUUAACAAGAAACCUUAGAGAACCCACCUUACAACUGUACACUGAAUAGUGGCUGGAGGACACAGAAGGGGAGGGUUGAAAUUUUCACUAGGUCCUCCACACCUACAGGAGUAACCAAGCUGAUGACUUGAUGAAUGAAUUUCUUUUUGGAAUUCUGCACUUGCAAUAUGUGUUUAAGUGAGGGCCUCAGUUGUGCACACAUGCACACACACAAACACACACAGUGGGUUUUGGAAACUGGAAUUUCUUUUAUGUGAUUAUGAAUGUUAACAGGACAUACAGUGCCACCUGAUAGGAGAGACUUGGUUGAAGCUGCCUCCUGUAAGAGGGACAACUUAGACACUGUGGCCACUGAAAACUGGUCCGAGGCAAUUCCAGACUGAGAUGUAGUCAUCAGAAGCCCCACAUGUUCCUUCAAGGGGAGCUUCAGGGUCAACAGGAGGGUGUGUGGCCACCAUAGCACUGCCAGAGCAGAAUGAACCCCAAUGUAGUAUUUAUUGCAACCAGUGGGACAACCCUAAUCUCUAAUCUCAAAACCUAAUCUCUAAAACUUUUGUUUCUGUGGGUAGAUUCGGCAAGAGCCAGAAGAAUGUCCUUGCAAUGGUCUAGUUACUCCAUGCAGGGCUUCUUCACAGAGUGCUUGCUCUUGUUACUGUAGACCAUUGACAUGACCUCCUUUCUCAGGUUCUCUUAUAGUUACUCACAGUUCACCUGGAGUAUCUGCACUUUAUCAGCCCUAAUCUUAAGAAGAAUGAUCUCUCUCUCUCUCUCUCUCUCUCUCUCUCUCUCUCUCUCUCUCUCUCUCUCUGUGUGUGUGUGUGUGUGUGUGUGUGUGUGUGUGUGUGUGUGUGUGUGUGGUAUUCUCUGGUGUUGCCCAUACUGACUCAUUAAUUGCCCAUUACUGUAGAAAGGAUUUUUUCUUUGUUUGCAACAUUGAUGACUCUGAGACUCUGGGGAUAUUGUAUAUGAAUAUGAUGAGAACAAUGAAGGUGAACUACAUCUUUGUUUGUUUGUUUGGACAGGGUUUCUUAGCAUAAUAGUCUUGGCUGUCAAAGAUGAACCACUUUUUAAAAAGGAAUUAAAAAAUAAACAGGAGAUAUAAUUAAUUUUA